This 497-nucleotide ribosomal RNA is filed under the name uncultured bacterium. RNAcentral describes it as "partial 16S ribosomal RNA". It matches the Rfam family "Bacterial small subunit ribosomal RNA", at positions 28 to 507 of the family's 1533-position model. The record is from RNAcentral.
GAUGAACGCUGGCGGCGUGCCUAAUACAUGCAAGUCGAGCGAACAGACGAGGAGCUUGCUCCUCUGACGUUAGCGGCGGACGGGUGAGUAACACGUGGAUAACCUACCUAUAAGACUGGGAUAACUUCGGGAAACCGGAGCUAAUACCGGAUAAUAUAUUGAACCGCAUGGUUCAAUAGUGAAAGACGGUUUUGCUGUCACUUAUAGAUGGAUCCGCGCCGCAUUAGCUAGUUGGUAAGGUAACGGCUUACCAAGGCAACGAUGCGUAGCCGACCUGAGAGGGGGAUAGGCCACACUGGAACUGAGACACGGUCCAGACUCCUACGGGAGGCAGCAGUAGGGAAUCUUCGGCAAUGGGCGAAAGCCUGACGGAGCAACGCCGCGUGAGUGAUGAAGGUCUUCGGAUCGUAAAACUCUGUUAUUAGGGAAGAACAAAUGUGUAAGUAACUAUGCACGUCUUGACGGUACCUAAUCAGAAAGCCACGGCUAACUACGUG